RNAcentral lists this ribosomal RNA (475 nucleotides) under Chaetodontoplus mesoleucus (vermiculated angelfish). RNAcentral's name for it is "partial small subunit ribosomal RNA". It matches the Rfam family "Bacterial small subunit ribosomal RNA", at positions 788 to 1491 of the family's 1533-position model. The record is from RNAcentral. Lineage: Eukaryota; Metazoa; Chordata; Actinopteri; Pomacanthidae.
CACUAUGCCUAGCCAUAAACAUUGACAGUUCACCCACCCCACUGUCCGCCAGGGAAUUACGAGCAUUAGCUUAAAACCCAAAGGACUUGGCGGUGCUUCAAACCCACCUAGAGGAGCCUGUUCUAGAACCGAUAAUCCCCGUUCAACCUCACCCCUUCUAGCCUUUUCCGCCUAUAUACCACCGUCGCCAGUUUACCCUGUGAAGGUUCAACAGUAAACACAAUCGGCACAGCCCAAAACGUCAGGUCGAGGUGUAGUGAAUGGAGGGGGAAGAAAUGGGCUACAUUCCCUAACACUAGGGCAUACGAAUGACAUGCUGAAACGCACAUCUGAAGGAGGAUUUAGCAGUAAGUAGAGAAUAGAGUGCCCUACUGAAGACGGCUCUGAAGCGCGCACACACCGCCCGUCACUCUCCCCAAGCUUACAUCCCAAAUUUACUAAAACACGACAACUGCAAAGGGGAGGCAAGUCGUAA